UAAACUUUUGCAUCCUAGACACUGAGACACUUGGCCCUGAAACCAACAACCUUAUUAUUGUCAUUGAUUUUUGGAGUAAUCAAGUGCAACGUCGAAUACCCAAGUUGGUAGUUGUCUGUAUUUAGAUGAAUUUUUGCAUCGUAACGGAGACACAUGGACCUUAAACCAAUAACCUUAUUAUUAUUUUCUUUAAUGUUUGUAGUAAUCAACUGCAAAAUCAAUUGCUAUUCUCCCUUUUUUUUCACAUGCAAGUCAUCCAAACAGGGACACCAUGCUACAAAUACUACAACUAUAAUUCCAAAUACAAAUACUAUAAUGAAAAGUCUACUGAGAUUUCUUAAACUCGAUUAAAACCAAAACUAGGCUUUCCGUUGUCGUUUCAAAAUAAAAAUGUUAGCCCCAGAACCAAUUAA
Long non-coding RNA from Drosophila bipectinata, 413 nucleotides. RefSeq lists it as uncharacterized. NCBI's taxonomy places the organism in Eukaryota, Metazoa, Arthropoda, Insecta, Diptera, Drosophilidae. The record is from RefSeq and is a predicted model, not a curated record.